Molecule: long non-coding RNA, 117 nt
Organism: Etheostoma cragini (Arkansas darter)
Lineage: Eukaryota; Metazoa; Chordata; Actinopteri; Perciformes; Percidae
Exons: 3
Source: RefSeq, a predicted model, not a curated record
GCCCACACGCCGAAGCUGGUUUAUGUGGCUCGGGAAAGGGAAGUUUGGGGUCCCCUGCUGGAACUGAGCCCCCGCAACCCGACCCCGAAUAAGUGGAUGAACAUGGAUGAAUGGAUG